GAUGAACGCUGGCGGCGUGCCUAAUACAUGCAAGUCGAGCGAACAGACGAGGAGCUUGCUCCUCUGACGUUAGCGGCGGACGGGUGAGUAACACGUGGAUAACCUACCUAUAAGACUUGGAUAACUUCGGGAAACCGGAGCUAAUACUGGAUAAUAUAUUGAACCGCAUGGUUCAAUAGUGAAAGGCGGUUUUGCUGUCACUUAUAGAUGGAUCCGCGCCGCAUUAGCUAGUUGGUAAGGUAACGGCUUACCAAGGCAACGAUGCGUAGCCGACCUGAGAGGAUGAUCGGCCACACUGGAACUGAGACACGGUCCAGACUCCUACGGGAGGCAGCAGUGGGGAAUCUUGCGCAAUGGGCGAAAGCCUGACGGAGCCACGCCGCGUGAGUGAUGAAGGUCUUCGGAUCGUAAAACUCUGUUAUUAGGGAAGAACAGAUGUGUAAGUAACUAUGCACGUCUUGACGGUACCUAAUCAGAAAGCCACGGCUAACUACGUG
RNAcentral lists this ribosomal RNA (497 nucleotides) under uncultured bacterium. RNAcentral's name for it is "partial 16S ribosomal RNA". It matches the Rfam family "Bacterial small subunit ribosomal RNA", at positions 28 to 507 of the family's 1533-position model. The record is from RNAcentral.